CCUACGGGUGGCAGCAGUGGGGAAUAUUGGGCAAUGGAGGAAACUCUGACCCAGCAACGCCGCGUGAAUGAUGAAGGUCUUCGGAUUGUAACGUUCUUUUCUAAGGGAAGCAGUAAGUUACGGUACCUUAGUAAUAAGCCUCGGCUAACUACGUGCCAGCAGCCGCGGUAAUACGUAGGAGGCGAGCGUUAUCCGGAAUGACUGGGCGUAAAGGGUGCGUAGGUGGUUUGGCAAGUUAGUAGCGUAACUCCCAGCCUCAAACUUGGUACUACUACUAAAACUGUUGGACUUGAGUGCAGGAGAGGCAUGCGGAAGUCGUAGUGUAGCGGUGAAAUGCGUAGAUAUUAGGAGGAACACCAAUGGCGAAGGCGGAUUGCUAGCCCGUAACUGACACUGAGGCACGAAAGCGUGGGGAGCAAACAGGAUUAGAUACCCGAGUAGUC
This 443-nucleotide ribosomal RNA is filed under the name uncultured bacterium. RNAcentral's name for it is "partial 16S ribosomal RNA". It matches the Rfam family "Bacterial small subunit ribosomal RNA", at positions 338 to 795 of the family's 1533-position model. The record is from RNAcentral.